CAGUCGCCGCGGGAAUACGUAGGGUGCGAGCGUUGUCCGGAAUUACUGGGCGUAAAGAGCUCGUAGGCGGUUUGUCGCGUCGUCUGUGAAAUUCUGCAGCUUAACUGUAGGCGUGCAGGCGAUACGGGCAGACUUGAGUACUACAGGGGAGACUGGAAUUCCUGGUGUAGCGGUGAAAUGCGCAGAUAUCAGGAGGAACACCGGUGGCGAAGGCGGGUCUCUGGGUAGUAACUGACGCUGAGGAGCGAAAGCGUGGGUAGCGAACAGGAUUAGAUACCCGAGUAGUCCCUGUCUCUUAUAC
This 301-nucleotide ribosomal RNA is filed under the name uncultured bacterium. Its description in RNAcentral is "partial 16S ribosomal RNA". It matches the Rfam family "Bacterial small subunit ribosomal RNA", at positions 509 to 807 of the family's 1533-position model. The record is from RNAcentral.